RNAcentral lists this non-coding RNA (29 nucleotides) under Mus musculus (house mouse). Lineage: Eukaryota; Metazoa; Chordata; Mammalia; Rodentia; Muridae. The record is from RNAcentral.
UCAAGCCUGGGCUGAUGGGUACUGCAUGA